UGGGGGUGAGUAACACGUACCUAACCUACCUUUUGGACCGGGAUAACUAUUGGAAACAGCAGCUAAUACCGGAUAAAAUAAAAAAAUGCAUGUUUUUUUAUUAAAAGGAGCCUUUAAAGCUCCACCAAAAAAUGGGGGUGCGCAACAUUAGUUAGUUGGUAGGGUAAAGGCCUACCAAGACGAUGAUGUUUAGCGGGGCCAAGAGGCUGUACCGCCACACUGGGAUUGAGAUACGGCCCAGACUCCUACGGGAGGCAGCAGUAAGGAAUAUUCCACAAUGAGCGAAAGCUUGAUGGAGCGACACAGAGUGCAGGAUGAAGUCA
This 323-nucleotide ribosomal RNA is filed under the name Mesomycoplasma ovipneumoniae. RNAcentral describes it as "partial 16S ribosomal RNA". It matches the Rfam family "Bacterial small subunit ribosomal RNA", at positions 100 to 416 of the family's 1533-position model. The record is from RNAcentral. Lineage: Bacteria; Bacillati; Mycoplasmatota; Mycoplasmoidales; Metamycoplasmataceae.